Molecule: long non-coding RNA, 233 nt
Filed under: Elaeis guineensis (African oil palm)
Lineage: Eukaryota; Viridiplantae; Streptophyta; Magnoliopsida; Arecales; Arecaceae
Description: long non-coding RNA (EGUI_LNC043512)
Source: RNAcentral
CAUUGAGCCAUCCCAACCUAGAGAGGUUAGUUAGCUUGUCAAGUUGUUGGCUCAAAGGCCAAGAAGAUAGGAAAUCAGUAUCCCUACUUUGGCCAUCCCAACCUGGAGCGACCGGCUAGCUCACCAAGUCUUCAACUCAAAGGUUGACAAGAUGAGAGGUUUGUAUCUCCAAUUGGACUAUCCUAACUUGGAGGGUUCAGUUAGCUUGCCAAAUUCCUAGCUUAGAGGUGGGU